ACUUGCUGAUGGCCUGCUGCGUCUUGACACACGAGGGGAGCCGGAACUUGAUCUGGAAGACGACGUUAGAGAGACAUGGCCAGUGUUCAGUACCCACAGCACUCUGCUGUCCUGGAGUGAAUAGCCAAUGCAACCGUGGUGGGUGUUUUUGUGAUGAGUUCUGCGUCACAAGCGGGGACUGCUGUGCUGACUACAAUCAGAUAUGCAUUCAGCCCUCACCACCAUCUUCAUCCUCCCUACCUACAACCAACCAAUCACCAACAUCAUCACCAAUCUCACCACCAACUUCAUCCUCCUCACCUACAACCAACCAAUCACCAACAUCAUCACCAACCUCACAAACAUCUUCAUCAGUCUCACCAACAACCAACCAAUCAUCAUCACCACCACCAACCUCUGCAUCUUCAUCAACAUCCCAGCAGAGAAAAAACAUCAGUGCAAUCACAGUCUUCCACAUGCGUGUUCGCUCAGGAGCCAAUGAGGAAGCAAUGCUGAAGGCUGUGCAGGAUUUCAUUCUCCACCUCCAGGGCUUGAUGAGGAGACAGCAGUGUGAAGACUGCAGUCUACGAGUGCUAAACAUCAGCAAGAAACAUCGCUGAUUACAUCAAGUCAAAUAUAUUAGAAUUAUUGAGAAUCCACAGUUUUUCACUAAUUAAUCAUUAUUACCUGGUCUUCUUCCACGUGUUUGUUUAAUACUCCUGGUGUGGAAAUGGUGUCACUAGAUGGCACUAGAGGACCGAACCUGUAAUGGAAAUCAUAGAGGAUUGUCCAAUCACUGUCUAACCUUAAUUUUAAUUUUA
Cyprinus carpio carpio is the source of this 800-nucleotide long non-coding RNA. The record is from Ensembl. NCBI's taxonomy places the organism in Eukaryota, Metazoa, Chordata, Actinopteri, Cypriniformes, Cyprinidae.